UACAGAGGUCCCAAGCGUUGUUCGGAUUCACUGGGCGUAAAGGGUGCGCAGGUGGGUUGGCAAGUUUGAUGUGAAAGCCCCGGGCUUAACCCGGGAAUGGCAUUGAAUACUGUUGAUCUGGAGGGUCGGAGGGGGGACUGGAAUUCUUGGUGUAGCAGUGAAAUGCGUAGAUAUCAAGAGGAACACCAGUGGCGAAGGCGAGUCCCUGGACGAUACCUGACACUGAGGCACGAAAGCCAAGGGAGCAAACAGG
RNAcentral lists this ribosomal RNA (253 nucleotides) under uncultured prokaryote. RNAcentral describes it as "partial 16S ribosomal RNA". It matches the Rfam family "Bacterial small subunit ribosomal RNA", at positions 524 to 776 of the family's 1533-position model. The record is from RNAcentral.